RNAcentral lists this ribosomal RNA (253 nucleotides) under uncultured bacterium. Its description in RNAcentral is "partial 16S ribosomal RNA". It matches the Rfam family "Bacterial small subunit ribosomal RNA", at positions 524 to 776 of the family's 1533-position model. The record is from RNAcentral.
UACAGAGACCUCAAGCAUUAUCCGGAUUUAUUGGGCGUAAAGGGUCCGCAGGUGGCUUGUCACGUCACUGGUCAAAUUUCAGGGCUCAACUCUGAAACCGCCAGUGAUACGGAUGAGCUCGAGCAUGGGAGAGGUACGCGGAAUUACCGGUGUAGUAGUAAAAUGCGUUAAUAUCGGUAAGAACACCAAAUGCGAAGGCAGCGUACUGGAACAUUGCUGACACUCAGGGACGAAAGCGUGGGGAGCGAAAGGG